CGGAGUUUAGCUCAGUUUGGUAGAGCACCUGGUUUGGGACCAGGGGGUCAGUAGUUCGAAUCUACUAAUUCCGACCA
Molecule: transfer RNA, 77 nt
Filed under: Caudoviricetes sp.
Lineage: Duplodnaviria; Heunggongvirae; Uroviricota; Caudoviricetes
Description: tRNA-Pro
Rfam family: tRNA
About the family: Transfer RNA (tRNA) molecules are approximately 80 nucleotides in length. Their secondary structure includes four short double-helical elements and three loops (D, anti-codon, and T loops).
Source: RNAcentral